RNAcentral lists this ribosomal RNA (1979 nucleotides) under human gut metagenome. RNAcentral describes it as "bacterial LSU rRNA". It matches the Rfam family "Bacterial large subunit ribosomal RNA", at positions 3 to 1976 of the family's 2925-position model. The record is from RNAcentral.
UUAAGCUACUAAGGGCACAUGAAGGAUGCCUUGGCACGAUCAGGCGAUGAAGGACGUGGUAAGCUGCGAAAAGCUUCGGGGAACUGCACACGAGUAUUGAUCCGGAGAUGUCCGAAUGGGGAAACCCGAUGGGAGUAAUGUUCCAUCAUUUCUUACUGAAUCCAUAGGUAAGAAAAGCGAGACCUGGGGAAGUGAAACAUCUCAGUACCCAGAGGAAAAGAAAUCAACCGAGAUUCCGCAAGUAGUGGCGAGCGAACGCGGAGAAGGCUAAACCGCCCGGUUUACCGGACGGGGUUGCGGGACUUCGACACGGCAAGACCAGUUGAUAGCAGAAGCUGUUGGAAAGCAGCGGCAUAGAGGGUGAUACCCCCGUAAGCGAAAUCGACUGUAAGCCCAGAAGUAUCCCAAGUAGGUCGGAACACGUGAAACUCUGACUGAAUCCGGGGGGCCCACCCUCCAAGCCUGAAUACUAGAUCGUGACCGAUAGCGCAUAGUACCGCGAGGGAAAGGUGAAAAAGUACCCCGGGAGGGGAGUGAAAAGUAUCUGAAAUCAUGUGUCUACAAAGUGUCGGAGCGAAAGCGACGGCAUGCCUUUUGCAUAAUGAGCCUGCGACUUACUCUAACGAGCGAGGUUAAGCGAAGUGCGGAGCCGAAGCGAAAGCGAGUGCGAAAAGCGCGUCUAGUUCGUUGGAGUAGACCCGAAGCUGAGUGAUCUAUCCAUGGCCAGGUUGAACCUGCAGUAACAUGCAGUGGAGGACCGAACCAGUUCAUGUUGAAAAAUGUUUGGAUGAGCUGUGGAUAGGGGUGAAAGGCCAAUCAAACUCAGUGAUAGCUGGUUCUCUUCGAAAUAGCUUUAGGGCUAGCCUUGCGUAAAUAGUUUAUGGGGGUAGAGCUACUGAUUGUUUGCGGGCCCUUACCGGGGUACCAAGAACUAUUAAACUCCGAAUACCAUAAACCGUACCGCAGGAGUCAGACUAUGGGGGAUAAGCUUCAUGGUCGAGAGGGAGACAGCCCAGACCGCCGGCUAAGGUCCCCAAUCCGGACUUAGUGGUUGGAAGGAUGUGAUGUUGCAUAAACAGCCAGGAUGUUGGCUUAGAGGCAGCCAUCAUUUAAAGAGUGCGUAAUAGCUCACUGGUCGAGUGAUAUCGCGCCGAAGAUGAUCGGGACUGAAGUACGGAACCGAAGCCGCGGAUCGUGAAUUUAUUCACGGUGGUAGAAGAGCGUUGUAUGCGGGUUGAAGCCGAAGAGGGAUCUGAGGUGGACUGCAUACAAGUGACCAUGCAGGCAUGAGUAGCGAAAAACCGGAUGAGAAUUCCGGUCACCGAAAACCUAAGGGUUCCCGGGGAAGGUUCGUCCGCCCGGGGUUAGUCGGAACCUAAGGCGAGGCCGAAAGGCGUAGUCGAUGGAGGACAGGUUAAUAUUCCUGUACCACCUUGUUGGAGUGAUGGAGGGACGCAGUAAGUCAGGCGAGCCGGGUGUUGAAUGUCCCGGUCGAAGGCCGACGGGUGCACGGCAGGCAAAUCCGCUGUGCGCAAGCCCGGGAGUCGUAAGGUAGCUGAACGCAAGUUCGGCGAAUUCGCUGUGGCGACGCUGACGAGAAAAGCUUCUAAACGUUGAUAACAGGGUGUCCGUACCGUAAACCGACACAGGUAGGUGAGGCGAGUAGCCUAAGGUGCGCGAGAGAAACCAACGUUAAGGAACUCGGCAAAUUGACCCCGUAACUUAGGGAUAAGGGGUGCCUUCGAUGGUGAAAGGACUUGCUCCUCGAGCUUUUGAAGGUUGCAACAAAGAGGCUGGUGCGACUGUUUAACAAAAACACAGCUCUAUGCUAACUCGCAAGAGGAUGUAUAUGGAGUGACACGUGACCAAUGCCAAAAGGUCAAUGGGAGAGGUUAGCGCAAGCGAAGCUUCGAUCUGAAGCCCUGGUGAAUGUCGGCCGUAACUAUAACGGUCCUAAGGUAGCGAAAUUCCUUGUCGGG